GGGAAUACUGUGUGAGGGAGCUGCUUUCAAAAUGCUUUCCAUAGGAAAAUUUCCACUCUGAGAGUCCAUGCCUUAGGAAAUACUGGAGACUUCAGCACUGACAGCUGGAGGAUUUUUGUGGGUGAUGGACAUCAGGCAGUAAUAGGAUCAAGUGGAUGAAUGACUUGGGAAGACACUAUAAUGCUCUAAGAAACAAAAUAAAGUGAGGAGUCAGAAGCCUGGAAAUCCAAGAUGAAUACAGCUCUUGAGAAGCCCUUCUUGGUGAAGCUUCCCAGAACUUCUGUGGCAACUUGACUGAAAUCUGAGGCAUGGCCUUGCCUCAAAAGUUCUUCUGUGGAUAUGGAGCCCAAAACCCAUGUGUGUCUCUGGCCCAGAUCCAUCAAAUCC
This 387-nucleotide long non-coding RNA is filed under the name Zonotrichia albicollis (white-throated sparrow). Its description in RNAcentral is "lncRNA (ENSZALG00000016486.1)". Lineage: Eukaryota; Metazoa; Chordata; Aves; Passeriformes; Passerellidae. The record is from RNAcentral.